AGCCACUUCCGCCGCGCCGCGGAGGCUGCAGGGAAGGGAAAGGAGCCGAGGGCGGAGAGUGGAGGAGGGUGCAGGAGUCCGGGCGUUGCUGAGCGUUUUGUACAGGCGGGUGCAGGAGUGAUGAUGGAGCUAUUCUGGAGAACUAUAGAUCAGGGGUCCCCAACUCCCGGACCAUGGAUCAGUACUGGGCCAUGGCAUGCCAGCAACCAGUCCGCACUAACAAGGAAAGCCCCAUCCGCGAUAUGCAGGCAGCACACAAAACCACGCCCCCUCCGGUCCGCAGAAAAACUUCUCUCCACGGAACCGGCCCCUUGUGCCAAAAGGUUGGGGACCUCUGCUAUAGAUGGUUCAUUGUGUAGACACUAUUUAUCUUAUGAUUGGUCUUUGAAGGAUAGCAGCUUAUUUAACUGAUUUUAUUUAACUGAUUUUAAUAUUAACUUCAAUUAUCAUUACAUACCGUGGAUGUUUUAAUUUGUGUACUGCGGAUGUUUGAAUUAUGUAUCCUUGUUAUCCUGGCUAACUGCCAAGAAUCCUUGCAAAUUACAGCAGUAACCCAAUCUGAUAAAUAAAAAUAUAUCUUUAAACGA
Long non-coding RNA from Crotalus tigris (Tiger rattlesnake), 587 nucleotides. RefSeq lists it as uncharacterized. The transcript is spliced from 2 exons. The record is from RefSeq and is a predicted model, not a curated record. NCBI's taxonomy places the organism in Eukaryota, Metazoa, Chordata, Lepidosauria, Squamata, Viperidae.